RNAcentral lists this ribosomal RNA (474 nucleotides) under uncultured bacterium. RNAcentral's name for it is "partial 16S ribosomal RNA". It matches the Rfam family "Bacterial small subunit ribosomal RNA", at positions 28 to 507 of the family's 1533-position model. The record is from RNAcentral.
GACGAACGCUGGCGGCGUGCUUAACGCAUGCAAGUCGAGCGGUAAGGCUCCUUCGGGAGUACACGAGCGGCGAACGGGUGAGUAACACGUGAGUAAUCUGCCCUUCACUUCGGGAUAACCACCGGAAACGGUGGCUAAUACCGAAUACGACCAGUCUUCGCAUGAGGUGCUGGUGGAAAGUCUUUUCGGUGAAGGAUGUGCUCGCGGCCUAUCAGCUUGUUGGUGGGGUAAUGGCCUACCAAGGCUUCGACGGGUAGCCGGCCUGAGAGGGUGACCGGCCACACUGGGACUGAGACACGGCCCAGACUCCUACGGGAGGCAGCAGUGGGGAAUAUUGGACAAUGGGCGAAAGCCUGAUCCAGCAACGCCGCGUGAGGGAUGACGGCCUUCGGGUUGUAAACCUCUUUCAGUACCGACGAAGCGCCCUGUCGGGUGGUGACGGUAGGUACAGAAGAAGGACCGGCCAACUACGUG